Proteiniclasticum ruminis is the source of this 71-nucleotide transfer RNA. It matches the Rfam family "tRNA". From Rfam's summary of the family: Transfer RNA (tRNA) molecules are approximately 80 nucleotides in length. Their secondary structure includes four short double-helical elements and three loops (D, anti-codon, and T loops). Lineage: Bacteria; Bacillati; Bacillota; Clostridia; Eubacteriales; Clostridiaceae. The record is from Rfam.
GCGGGUGUAGUUCAAUGGUAGAAUUCCAGCCUUCCAAGCUGGUCGUGAGGGUUCGAUUCCCUUCACCCGCU